RNAcentral lists this unclassified non-coding RNA (330 nucleotides) under soil metagenome. RNAcentral describes it as "partial contains 5.8S ribosomal RNA, internal transcribed spacer 2, and large subunit ribosomal RNA". The stretch from base 1 to 121 matches the Rfam family "5.8S ribosomal RNA", at positions 35 to 154 of the family's 154-position model. The record is from RNAcentral.
GAUGAAGAACGUAGUGAAAUGCGAUAAGUAAUGUGAAUUGCAGAUUUCCAGUGAAUCAUCGAAUCUUUGAACGCACAUUGCGCCCCUUGGUAUCCCGAGGGGCAUGCCUGUUCGAGCGUCAUUUCACCACUCAAGCCUGGCUUGGUGUUGGGCGACGUCCCCUUUGGGGACGCGCCUCGAAACGCUCGGCGGCGUGGCACCGGCUUUAAGCGUAGCAGAAUCUUUCGCUUUGGAAGUCGGGGCCCCGUCUGCCGGAAGACCUACUCGCAAGGUUGACCUCGGAUCAGGCAGGGAUACCCGCUGAACUUAAGCAUAUCAAUAAGCGGAGGA